GUACACUCCUACGGGAGGCAGCAGUAGGGAAUCUUCGGCAAUGGGGGCAACCCUGACCGAGCAACGCCGCGUGAGUGAAGAAGGUUUUCGGAUCGUAAAGCUCUGUUGUAAGUCAAGAACGAGUGUGAGAGUGGAAAGUUCACACUGUGACGGUAGCUUACCAGAAAGGGACGGCUAACUACGUGCCAGCAGCCGCGGUAAUACGUAGGUCCCGAGCGUUGUCCGGAUUUAUUGGGCGUAAAGCGAGCGCAGGCGGUUUGAUAAGUCUGAAGUUAAAGGCUGUGGCUCAACCAUAGUUCGCUUUGGAAACUGUCAAACUUGAGUGCAGAAGGGGAGAGUGGAAUUCCAUGUGUAGCGGUGAAAUGCGUAGAUAUAUGGAGGAACACCGGUGGCGAAAGCGGCUCUCUGGUCUGUAACUGACGCCGAGGCUCGAAAGCGUGGGGAGCGAACAGGAUUAGAAACCCGAGUAGUCCCA
Molecule: ribosomal RNA, 475 nt
Filed under: uncultured organism
Description: partial 16S ribosomal RNA
Rfam family: Bacterial small subunit ribosomal RNA
Source: RNAcentral